This is a long non-coding RNA of Bos taurus (domestic cattle), 1105 nucleotides long. The record is from Ensembl. Lineage: Eukaryota; Metazoa; Chordata; Mammalia; Artiodactyla; Bovidae.
UGGGCUUAUAUUUUCAGAAAGCUGUUGAAGAAAAGCAUCAGAAAAACCUUCCUACAAAACAAAAUGAGGCAAAACUUCAAGCCUGGAGAACCCCAUCAGUGAAUUCAUCUCAACAUUUGAGGAAGAGGUAUAACUCAUCAGAAAUGCUCGUGUCUGUGUGCCAAAUGAUAUUGAAAUGGAAGCAAACCACCCCUACGUGCAGUGCUGUGUGAUUAUUACAGUUCUACUACCAAAUGAAAGAAAUAAGAUGCAGUUCAUUCUCUGUAAUUCCCUUUACAUAAGGUUCAAAACCAGGAAAACUAAUCUGCACGGUUAGAAGCGAGGUUUCCUCUGAGGAAAAGAAGAGUCGUCAUUUGGAACCAGAGUAGUCAUGGAUCACAAGCAAUCGAGGCAUGUAAAAUUUGCCACCAAAGUAAUUGUACGUGGGGCUUCCCUGGUGGUCCAGUGGUUAAGAAUCCACCUUGCAAUGCAAGGGACACAGGUUUGAUCCCUGGUCUGGAGGAUCCCACAUGCCGCAGAGCAACUAAGCCAGUGCACCACAGCUAAUGAGCCAGUGCUCCCGAGCCUGCGAGCUGCAACUGCUGAGCCCAUGCACCGCAACUACUGAAGCCCUAGAGCCCAGGCUCUGCAAAAAGAGAAGUCACCACAAUGAGAAGUCUGUGAACCCCAACGAAGAGUAGCCCUUGCUCGCCAUGACUAGAGAAAGCCCACGUGCAGCAACGAAGACCCAGAGCAGCCAAAAAAAAAUAGAAUAAAUAAAUAAAUUUUUUUAAAAAAUAAUUAUACAUAAUACCUGCUGAGCUCUUUUUAUGACCUGGGCCCACUUUGCAAGCAAUAACUUAUUUUAUCCUCACGAUAACCUUUUUCUAAUUACACAGAUGAAAAUAUCAGAGGCACAGACUGGUGUAGCAAUUUGCCACAGUGUGGGAGUAAAGAGGCAAGAUGUGAACCCAGGCAGUCUGGCCACAGGGCUCAAACUCCUAACGUCUGUCCACACAGCUGUUCCAGGCUAAUUAGCAACUUUACAAACUGGUCUUGCACACAUCUCAGUAAUGUGACGGAAGGAAUACAAUUUUUUUUUUUAAAUGUUCUGGUAGAAUGUUUU